RNAcentral lists this ribosomal RNA (754 nucleotides) under uncultured Vibrio sp. Its description in RNAcentral is "bacterial SSU rRNA". It matches the Rfam family "Bacterial small subunit ribosomal RNA", at positions 28 to 761 of the family's 1533-position model. Lineage: Bacteria; Pseudomonadati; Pseudomonadota; Gammaproteobacteria; Vibrionales; Vibrionaceae. The record is from RNAcentral.
AUUGAACGCUGGCGGCAGGCCUAACACAUGCAAGUCGAGCGGAAACGACUUAACUGAACCUUUGGGGAACGUUAAGGGCGUCGAGCGGCGGACGGGUGAGUAAUGCCUGGGAAUAUGCCUUAGUGUGGGGGAUAACUAUUGGAAACGAUAGCUAAUACCGCAUAAUGUCUUCGGACCAAAGAGGGGGACCUUCGGGCCUCUCGCGUCAGGAUAUGCCUAGGUGGGAUUAGCUAGUUGGUGAGGUAAGGGCUCACCAAGGCGACGAUCCCUAGCUGGUCUGAGAGGAUGAUCAGCCACACUGGAACUGAGACACGGUCCAGACUCCUACGGGAGGCAGCAGUGGGGAAUAUUGCACAAUGGGCGCAAGCCUGAUGCAGCCAUGCCGCGUGUGUGAAGAAGGCCUUCGGGUUGUAAAGCACUUUCAGUAGGGAGGAAGGUUCAUGCGUUAAUAGCGUAUGGAUUUGACGUUACCUACAGAAGAAGCACCGGCUAACUCCGUGCCAGCAGCCGCGGUAAUACGGAGGGUGCGAGCGUUAAUCGGAAUUACUGGGCGUAAAGCGCAUGCAGGUGGUUUGUUAAGUCAGAUGUGAAAGCCCGGGGCUCAACCUCGGAAUUGCAUUUGAAACUGGCAGACUAGAGUACUGUAGAGGGGGGUAGAAUUUCAGGUGUAGCGGUGAAAUGCGUAGAGAUCUGAAGGAAUACCGGUGGCGAAGGCGGCCCCCUGGACAGAUACUGACACUCAGAUGCGAAAGGG